Long non-coding RNA from Lolium rigidum, 777 nucleotides. RefSeq lists it as uncharacterized. The transcript has 3 exons. The record is from RefSeq and is a predicted model, not a curated record. NCBI's taxonomy places the organism in Eukaryota, Viridiplantae, Streptophyta, Magnoliopsida, Poales, Poaceae.
UUAGUGCAAUGCUGGAUCUACAAUCAAGUAAAGUGCAAUAGUGAUGAUUGGUAAAAUGUUAAAUCCUCAAUGAGAUCUUCCUAAUCUAUUUGGAGUUUGAUUCAUAUAACAAGGUUAUUGCACAAGCUGGAUGGUACGAGAGUUGAAUGGGGAUACACUUUUGCAGUAGCUGGUGGAAACAUAUCUUAUAUGUUAGUGCAAAUGCUGGAUCUACAAUCAAGUAAAGUGCAAUAGUGAUGAUUGGUAAAAUGUUUAAUCCUCAAUGAGAUCUUCCUAACCUAUUUAGGAGUUUAAUUCAUAUAACAAGUCGUCGAUGUUGGUGCUUCCUUCAAACAGGCACCCCAUGUUGCCCUCGAAUGCGGCAUCAUUGAACCACUCACUCAGAUCCAUUGAGUUGCUGAUAUUAGUUCCCAAAAUAGUGUCCAAUUCAUAAUCCAUGCAAGGGCUCCAGAGGUUCUCCUCGAUGCUGUAGUCAAACACAAGGGGCGCGUUGAUGCCUUCAGUGCUGUCAUUCACUGCAAUCGGCUCAUCGACGGCACCAGGCAUCUGCGCUUCAUCUGAACUGAGCUCUUGGACUGCAUUGUCACUUUGGAGGUCAUGUUGAAGUUCUUCUUGCAAUGCUGGCACCACCUGUGGCCCUUGCUGCAGUUGUGCAAGUAACUGAGGCUGGUCCAGGUAGCAGCUAAUGUCAAAAUUGGUUACGGCAUUGGCUCCUCGGUAUUCGAUGGCUGCAAGAUCAUAAGCCUUGGCUGCUUCCUCUUGGGUAUCUGCAGGAAG